GUAUCCAUGCCUGAAGGAGCCAGGUAGCAUCACAGGAUACGAUGGAUGGAAAACAAGUAUUAAAUACAAGCUUGGAAACUACAGGUCAAAGCUUCGUCAGGCGGGCUGCAAUGAGGUAGAUGUAAACAAGAAAAGAAAAGGGGGAGAUGAGGAUGACAGACCGUUCACCCUGAAAAAGCCCAAACGUGGAGAGGUCAAUCAUGUCCCGGAUUACCCACAACACCAUGAUGAUUCUACUCUUGAGGAGGAAAGAGUUGCUCUGGUCGAUGAAAUGAAGAAGAAAAAAAAGAACAUGACAUUGAUCCGGGACAAGAUGGAGCUGACAUUUUCCCUUAGGCGGAGAGAGGUAGUAGAGGGGCAGCCUAUGGUAGCAGAGGUCCAGGAGAGAUGGCCUGCGCUGUUUUCCAUUGAGGAGAUAUCUGAAGAAUUUCAUCGGAUCACCAGCAGAGACCUCCUGGGGACUUUCAGUGCAUCCCUUGACAAACAUGUGCCUUGCCUGCUGAAACUGUACCGGGCUAGGAAGGGAGCUUUUGGACAGAAGAUGGAAGACCUCCUCGAAAAGCCUGAUGAACAAACAUCGGACAUUGUGUCUCACCGAAAGACAGCAGCACUGAGAGGCCUGCCCAUUUUUGUCCGGG
This is a long non-coding RNA of Eleginops maclovinus (Patagonian blennie), 638 nucleotides long. RefSeq lists it as uncharacterized. The transcript is spliced from 3 exons. Lineage: Eukaryota; Metazoa; Chordata; Actinopteri; Perciformes; Eleginopidae. The record is from RefSeq and is a predicted model, not a curated record.